CCCUCACUUUUCCCUUUCAAACUACAAAAUCAGCCUCUGUGUGCACGUUCAGUCUUCACUGUUCCCUUACACUCUACAAAAUCAGCCUCUGUGUGCAAGUUCCGUCCUCACUGUUUCCUUACACUCUACAGGUUCAGCCUGUGUGUGCACGUUCCGUCCUCACUGUUCCCUUACACUCUACAGGUUCAGCCUGUGUGUGCACGUUCCGUCCUCACUGUUCCCUUACACUCUACAGAUUCAGCCUCUGUGUGCAUGUUCAGUCCUCACUGUUCCCUUACACUCUACAGGUUCAGCCUGUGUGUGCACGUUCCGUCCUCACUGCUACCUUACACUCUACA
Sapajus apella (tufted capuchin) is the source of this 338-nucleotide long non-coding RNA. RefSeq lists it as uncharacterized. The record is from RefSeq and is a predicted model, not a curated record. The transcript is spliced from 4 exons. Lineage: Eukaryota; Metazoa; Chordata; Mammalia; Primates; Cebidae.